AACCUGCUGACUCAUGCGUUCUAACCAGGUGUGCUGGUAUUUUUGGCACGCUGUGUGUGAAGUACGAUAUAUUGGAGCAUAUUACAUCUAUUACUGGUGAGAUAUGUAUUAUGUUAGUUUAAAUAUUGGAAGUCUGAAACCUGCCACAGCAAUAAAUUCAAGUUUUUUGCAGAGGAUUUAGUGCAGUUACGUGAUUUUGCAUUUUAAAUACAUGCAUCAUCUCCAGUUUUCUUCUCUUAUAACAGAAUAAUAGUGAGUUCCGUUACAGAAUGAGCUGCAAAGCGAUAAUAAUGAAACCUGAGCUGGCAUCUUAUGAAAAACAAGCAGAAAAACAAAACAUCUGAUUUCUCCAAACUAAAGUCCAGAACUUUCGCUGCGUCAGUCUGUGGAUAUUUACACCACCAUUCAAAAGUUUAGGGUCACUUAGAAAUGUCCUUAUUUUUGAAAGAAAAGCAGUUUUUUUUCAAUGAAGAUAACAUUAAAUGAAUGAUAAAUCCAGUCUAGACAUUGUUAAUGUGGUAAAUGACUAUUCUAGCUGGAAACAGCUGAUUUUUAAUGGAAUAUCUCCAUAGGGGUACAGAGGAACAUUUCCAGCAACCAUCACUCCUGUGUUCUAAUGCUACAUUGUGUUUUUGCUGUAAGUCGGAACUCACAUACUGUGAUGUAUGUGGCAUACAACCGGUGAAUGUAAACAAAGCUGUCUUCCUCGUAUAGCGCCGUGUGACGACAUAUUCAUGCGCUCCGCUUGCCUACUAGUUCCUAUGUGAAAUUAGUUUUAACGUCACAAAUGCUGUAAGUAAGACUUUCUUAAUAAAUUUAUGGGAGAUGGUGACAUAACCACGAAACACCGUAGCUCAAGGACGUCGUAAACCGAGGAACUGCUGUAUACCCGACGGUCGAAGGGGAUCCUCAGAACUGAUGCUGGCAUUGCUAGCAUGAACUGCUGCUCUGUCUGUGUCAUUUCUACAGAUACUUGGGGGUCUCGACUUUCAUCGGAAUUCUGUUCCUACGGCGCGACAUAACGUGAUUUUCGCAGUGGGAACUGAGUGCAGCAGCUGUGUGUUCCGGGGGGAAGCUUCCUGCGGUGGGACCGUGGUUCUACAGCUCCGGUCUCUGGGCUGCUGCUGCCUCCAGGUGCGGCUGGACGGCGUCCCGGUAAAACAUCGCCAGCCUGGACAGCGUCUGGUCCCAGAUCCCCUCGUCAAAGUGGACCGGGACCACGGCGGUCUCCUUCAGGGUGAAGACCACCAGGUCGGCCUCCUGCAGCCCCGACACCCACAGCUGGACCUGGAUCUGGGUGAAGUAGCUGUGGGUGGACUUGAGACGGUAGCGUGGAGGCUGGAGGACAAGGAGACGUUAGAUAUUUCUAGUUUUCUGUGUUUUUAUUGACAGAUUAUUGAUGAUUAAAUAUUCCAGGUCUGAUCAGCUCUGAACCACAAACACAAACCAGGAAGUUAGCUUCUCUCAUAGUGGCUAAUGCUAUGCUAACAGCUAGCGGCUAAGUUAGGAGGCAGAUUAACCUGAAACAGUCUUUUUUUUAUUGCAUCUUUGGGGUUUGUUCUCAAACUUUAGGCCUAGAGUUUUUGGUUUCAUCCUCAAAUUUUUGAGGAAAAAAGCAGAAUAUUAUGAAGUUUUUCUUUUUUUAAAGUCACAAUAUACACUUACAUCCUUCUUUAAAAAAUUCUGAUAUUUGUUCUUUUAAAUUUGAUGUUUUCUCACAAUUUUUUAAUGUUAUCUGGAAAAUUUUACUUGUUUCUUAAUUUUUUGUCGUUUCAUGCCAUAUUUUAAACUGAUUUUUAAAAUUUCUUUUGUUUUUCCUUUAAACUUUUAUUGGUCGGUCAUUAGCACUAAUAAUCGGUAUUGGCCCUAAAUUAACAGCCCAUCUGUGGACUAUGAUGGUUCCGGUUUUUCAGUUUUUUUACCCCUCCAGGCCUCUGUCCGUCCUCGUCCAGGACCUCCAGACAGAAGGCCGGGUCGUCCCUGCAGGCGUCCUCCACUCGUCUGUCCCGGUGCUUGUAGGGACACUUCACCUCCAGGCAGAGCAGCCGUUGGCCGGUCCAGCUGUCAAUCACGAUGCCGUCAGGGCUGGCGGCCAACCAGGGCCUCUGGGCGUCGAUGAAGAGACCGCAGUCCUGGACGGAGACGGGACGACCCAACGCACGACUCUUCAGCUCCUACAGGACGACAUCACCAUGACGUCAUCAGUUACAUCAUCAACUUCAGAAAAAAUCUUUGUUCAUAAAACUACAGAAAAGUGAAACUAGUUUCCACUUUAAAUGACCUUUAUGUUCUGCUGCAGUCUGACUUCUUUAUCUCCAAACCACUGACUAAUAAUAAUAACUAGAACUGAUAGUUUUUACUCAUAUCUAGUAAUAAAUAAAUAACUUUCUCAUUCAAA
Molecule: long non-coding RNA, 2398 nt
Organism: Amphiprion ocellaris (clown anemonefish)
Lineage: Eukaryota; Metazoa; Chordata; Actinopteri; Pomacentridae
Exons: 2
Source: RefSeq, a predicted model, not a curated record